UACGGAAGGCAGCAGUGGGGAAUAUUGCACAAUGGGCGAAAGCCUGAUGCAGCUAUGCCGCGUGUAUGAAGAAGGCCUUAGGGUUGUAAAGUACUUUCAUCGGGGAGGAAAAAACAAAACUAAUAAUUUUAUUUCUUGACGUUACCCGAAAAAGAAGCACCGGCUAACUCCGUGCCAGCAGCCGCGGUAAUACGGAGGGUGCUAGCGUUAAUCAGAAUUACUGGGCGUAAAGAGCACGUAGGUGGUUUUUUUAAGUCAGAUGUGAAAUCCCUGGGCUUAACCUAGGAACUGCAUUUUGAAACUGAAAUACUAGAGUAUCGUAGAGGGAGGUAGAAUUCUAGGUGUAGCGGUGAAAUGCGUAGAUAUCUGGAGGAAUACCUGUGGCGAAAGCGGCCUCCUAAACGAAUACUGACACUGAGGUGCGAAAGC
Molecule: ribosomal RNA, 429 nt
Filed under: uncultured bacterium
Lineage: Bacteria
Description: bacterial SSU rRNA
Rfam family: Bacterial small subunit ribosomal RNA
Source: RNAcentral